UACGGGGGGAGCAAGCGUUGUUCGGAUUUACUGGGCGUAAAGGGCGCGUAGGCGGUCGUGACAAGUCACUUGUGAAAUCUCCGGGCUUAACUCGGAACGGCCAAGUGAUACUGUCGGACUAGAGUACAGAAGGGGCAACUGGAAUUCUCGGUGUAGCGGUGAAAUGCGUAGAUAUCGAGAGGAACACCUGCGGCGAAGGCGGGUUGCUGGGCUGAUACUGACGCUGAGGCGCGAAAGCGUGGGGAGCAAACAGG
RNAcentral lists this ribosomal RNA (254 nucleotides) under uncultured bacterium. RNAcentral's name for it is "partial 16S ribosomal RNA". It matches the Rfam family "Bacterial small subunit ribosomal RNA", at positions 524 to 776 of the family's 1533-position model. The record is from RNAcentral.